Molecule: ribosomal RNA, 392 nt
Filed under: uncultured bacterium
Lineage: Bacteria
Description: bacterial SSU rRNA
Rfam family: Bacterial small subunit ribosomal RNA
Source: RNAcentral
GUGCCAGCAGCCGCGGUAAUACGGAGGGUGCAAGCGUUAUCCGGAUUCACUGGGUUUAAAGGGUGCGUAGGCGGGUUUGUAAGUCAGUGGUGAAAUCCCCGAGCUUAACUUGGGAACUGCCAUUGAUACUGCAAGUCUUGAAUUUUCUGGAGGUAAGCGGAAUAUGUCAUGUAGCGGUGAAAUGCUUAGAUAUGACAUAGAACACCCAUUGCGAAGGCAGCUUACUACGGGAAUAUUGACGCUGAGGCACGAAAGCGUGGGGAUCAAACAGGAUUAGAUACCCUGGUAGUCCACGCCCUAAACGAUGAUUACUCGACAUUAGCGAUAUUACAGUUAGUGUCUAAGCGAAAGCAUUAAGUAAUCCACCUGGGAAGUACGACCGCAAGGUUGAA